UGGGGAAUAUUGCGCAAUGGGGGGAACCCUGACGCAGCCAUGCCGCGUGAAUGAAGAAGGCCUUAGGGUUGUAAAGUUCUUUCGGUAUUGAGGAAGGUUGAUGUGUUAAUAGCACAUCAAAUUGACGUUAAAUACAGAAGAAGCACCGGCUAACUCCGUGCCAGCAGCCGCGGUAAUACGGAGGGUGCGAGCGUUAAUCGGAAUAACUGGGCGUAAAGGGCACGCAGGCGGUUAUUUAAGUGAGGUGUGAAAGCCCCGGGCUUAACCUGGGAAUUGCAUUUCAGACUGGGUAACUAGAGUACUUUAGGGAGGGGUAGAAUUCCACGUGUAGCGGUGAAAUGCGUAGAGAUGUGGAGGAAUACCGAAGGCGAAGGCAGCCCCUUGGGAAUGCACUGACGCUCAUGUGCGAAAGCGUGGGGAGCAAACAGGAUUAGAUACCCUGGUAGUCCACGCUGUAAACGCUGUCGAUUUGGGGGUUGGGGUUUAACUCUGGCGCCCGUAGCUAACGUGAUAAAUCGACCGCCUGGGGAGUACGGCCGCAAGGUUA
RNAcentral lists this ribosomal RNA (547 nucleotides) under uncultured bacterium. RNAcentral describes it as "bacterial SSU rRNA". It matches the Rfam family "Bacterial small subunit ribosomal RNA", at positions 355 to 896 of the family's 1533-position model. The record is from RNAcentral.